This 8412-nucleotide long non-coding RNA is filed under the name Nicotiana tabacum (common tobacco). RNAcentral describes it as "long non-coding RNA (NTAB_LNC000656)". The record is from RNAcentral. Lineage: Eukaryota; Viridiplantae; Streptophyta; Magnoliopsida; Solanales; Solanaceae.
AACUAAAUUGUGAAAUAAAUAAUAGAUAUUAUAGAAACUAUAAUUGAUUUAAGUACAACUAUCCCAAGUACUAGUAGUACAAGUCAUGAGCCACUAUGAAUUAGAUUUACAAAUUUGAUGUGAAGAAUAAAUACAAUAUCUAUUUGAAGUUUACAUAAACAGAGCUUAAAACCAAAACUACCAUAAAUAAGAGGUAGCUUGAAUCUGAAACACGGGUACGUCUUCAAUGUAAGGUUUCGUUCUCCAUAGCACGCAGCUCCAAGAUCUGCACGCAAAGUGUUGAAGUGUAGUAUGAGUACAACUGACCCCAUGUACUCAUUAAGUAUUUUGGCUAACCUCGGUGAAGUAUUAAUAAGGUAUUAUAUUAAAUAUACUCACUUACUAUGUACCUAUGCAGAUAAUAAGUAGGAGAAAUAAGGUAAGAGAUAUGUCGAAUAAUGGUAAGAGCGUCAACUAGAGAGCUAUGGAGUAGUUAACAAACAUGGCAACAAGUCAUAACCUCACACCCAUUUCUACGAAUGAAACAAUAAUCAUGAGGUGUGCGCAAGGAUCAUAACCAAAUAUCAUAAACAAAUAUUGUUGCAGCAUGUAACUCGAUUCCAAUCUCAAUUAACACUGUUACGGCGUGCAACCCAAUCCCAAUAUCAAUUAAACUCUACUACGACGUGCAACCCAAUCCUAAUACCAAUAAACACUAUUGUGGCGUACAACCCAAUCUCAAUAUAUAGUAAUAUCAUAUAAAACCACAACAACAACCAAACAUGGGCUAAGUUCACAACGCAACACUAAGAAAACGAACAUCCAAUAUUCAACUAGGUAAUACAACUCAAAAGGAGUAAGAUAAGCAGUCCAAUAUCAAAAUCUAGUCUACUGUGUAUAAUGACAAGGUUUCCACAAAGCAUACACACAACUAAUCUAAAAAAUCACCCAAUUCGGUUAAGAAAAGAAGAGUAGGACAUGAAACGAGUAAAGAUGCUUGUCAAGUAAUAACAAGGAACAAAUGAAGGCAUUCAAUAUAUGAAAUCAUGUAGCAAGUAGAAACGUGAAGCAAGUAAAGGCAUUUAAUAAGUGAAGACAUAUGAUAAGUAAAGGCAUAUAAUAAGUGGAGACGAGUAGUAAGUGAAAGUAUGUAGUAAGUGAAGACAUGUAGCAGGUUAAAACAUCUAACAAGUAAAUCACGUGAUAGUUAGAGGCAUGUAACAUGUAUGGUCUAACAACAAGUAAAAGCAUGAAUUUGAAGAGGACAUGUAGCAGAAAUAAAUCAAGUAAAACCGUAAGUGUAACAGUAAUAGACAAGGUAAGGACAUAGCUAUAAUAGUAACAUGCCAAAGGGAAACCAUAGAGGUAACUACAUAAGAAGCUCAAAUGGAAGGUAUCAUACAAAACAAAUAAGCAUUAAUAGAAACCAAAGUAGAGGGCAUGUAAGUGCUUAACAAAUGAGUAAUUAUAAUAGAAAUCCAACUACCUUUAUUUUUGCACGGUAAUAACCAACAAACCAAUCUUAUUUCAAACCGUACUGAAAUACUCAUCGUGCCAACAUCAUAUCAACCACACAUAAUUACCCAUCAUGCCAAACAUAGCCCUACGACCCUAAUCAUUAUCUCUUAUUAUGAAUAAAGAAUCUCAAGUAACAUGACACAGGGGAAUGCCGCUCAAAUAUACAAAACGACCGGCCAGGUCAUUACACCUGCGUAUCAUGACACCGCAUUAAUCAUACCAUUACAUAGUUUAGGGAAACAUAAUAUACAAAAGAGAAUUUUUUUGGGUUUACAUAAUUUUUUUUGAUGUUUCCAUUAUAUGACUCAAUACAAAAAUACAUAAAGGAAAAUACAAUAAAGACAUACACUAAAAAUCAACUCCUCUUACAUUACACAACAAAUGACUCAAAUUCAAAGUGGAACACAAAAGUAAAAGACUCUAAAACCCUGAUCUCGCAAGCAACCCUUCGACUAUCUCUUCAUUCACUACCCCGACCUAUUUCCUACCUCACCAUGGAGAACCUACAAAUCUAUCUUGAUUUGGCAUAUAAUUCUCAUCACUAAGAUGACAAACAUAUCUUUACUCAUUUUUUUUACAACCAGUACACCUUUAAGGGGUAUACUCAGCUAUCUCCAGGAUUCUCCUCUUAGUGUGCCCUUGGUCCUGAAACAUUCUUCAGAUUUGCUGCUCACGGGCUUGGACCAACUCUGAAGCCCUUUCUUUUUUAUUCUUCACAUCUACCAAAUCAUUUUCCAAUCAGUUGAGUAGGUCAUAAAAAUGGUUCUUCUUGGCUUCAAACUCUGUGAAUUAGCGGCUCAUGACUUCUUCAAUGGCACUUAACUCUUUUCUCAAACUUGGGAUUUCAUCAUCAUGACUCUUCUUGGACGGCGAGCCAAUCUUACCCGACUUUCCGCGUCUUCCCCCCAAUUGUAUUAUCUUUUCUAUAGAAUUUUUUAACUAUUUCUGUUUGUUUUGCAAAAUAUAAUUGUAUUCCUUCAAUUUUUCCCUAAGGUUUACAAUAUUAGAGCUAGCCUUGGAAGGCUUUGUUCUCAUGGAUCAACCUAUUCCUUUCUCCCUUAGACUCUUGAGCUUGUAAAUAUUUUUCAAAACUGAGUACUCUAAGCUUUUCUGCAGUGAUCCGAUGGUAGUCCGAUACUCUUGUUUUUUUUCUCCCCAGGCCUAUUUUUCUUGCAUUUUAUCAAUGAGUCCCUAGACAUCUAGACUUUUAUUAGUUCUCACAAGAUCAUCAUUCACAUAAGGUAUAUUAUCGUAUAAUUCAAUAUAUCACUGAUCCACUUCACCCUUUGUUGGAAUUAGUAUUUGUUUAUCAGACUCCAAGAACUGACAUCACUCCAAGUUUGCGGAAGUGAAUCUUUGGGAAAUGAGGCUUCUGGGUGUAGCUCAAUUGCAUGAAUGCUAAGAUACUUAGAUAUAUUAAUUUAGUUGAUUUGAACUUGUGAGCAAUGUUUGGUUGUGAUCCAGAAUUUCUAAUUGUGAUUCGACGUGUUUCGCAAAGUUGGAGAGUUUAGAAGUUAACAGAUAAACUUUGAUCUUUGAUUCUUGGUUUUGAUAUUAUUUAUGAUUUUUUGAGAAUUUGGAUAAGUUUGAUUAAGGUAUUAGGACUUGUUGGUAUUGUUGGAUGAGGGCCCAGGGGGCUCGAGUGUGCUUCGGGAUGGUUUCAGACCAUUUUGGGAUGAUUUGGUAUUGCUAGUGCUGGUGUGGCGCACCUGUGUUACCUGUUGCGCAAGUGAAAGGUCACAGAUGCGAUGCCUCAAGAGCGCCUAUGAGGUGUACAUUUACGGAGAUCAAGGUGCAUUUGCAAGGUUUGGCUGGUAGGCAGGAUUGCACCUACAAAAGUGAUUGUCAUACCUGCGGUACCCACAUCUAUGGAAGACGGGCUGCAAAUGGAAGGUUGGUUUGUGGCCGAAAUUGUGUAGAAGCGAGUGGUGGCUCGCAUAUUUGAGCAUAUAGGGCAUUGAUGUGAGAAUUCCUAACACACUUUAUAUUCCGAGGGUUAGCAGAGUUUUUCACUAUUUUGAGUUUUGGAGCAUGGGGAGAGGCGAUUUUGGAAGGAAUUUUCACUACAUUGUGGAUAAGUAAUUCCCACUUGGAUUUGAUAUAUAUAUAUAUAGAUACAUACACACACACACACUUAGAACAAGAUAUAUCUAUAUCUUGAUUCCCCGUGAAUUUAUACACUUAGAACAUAGAUUUUUAAAGAAAAACUUAGGUUUUUGUCUACAACUUAAGAGAGUGUAUUAUGGAGAUUUGAGAGUCGAUUUGGACUCAAUUUUAGAAUCUAAUCACAUAUUUGGACAUGUGGGAUUAUGAGUAGUUGGGAUCUACCCCUUGACUUGGGUUUUGAUUAUGUAAGCCCAAGUUAACUUUUGCUGACAUUUGGGUAUUUGAUUAAAAAUUGAAGCUUUAUUUUUUAAGAGUGAUUCAUAUAGAUUUUUUUGACGUUAUUGAGUUGUAUUUAACUAGAUUCGAGUUGUUUAGAGUUUGACUUGAGAGGAAAAUCUAUUUUGGAAGGUUGAAGUUAUUAUCGGAUAGAGGUAAGUCUCUUGUCUAUACUUGUAAUAGGGAAUUCUUCACAUACGUGAUCAAUUUGCUACUUGCUACUUGAACUAGGAUCCACGUAUAUACAAGGUGACAAACAUAUAUUUAUAGCUAGGUUAUGACCAUAUCCGGUAGAGUUUAGCUUAUGAUUAUCACUUGUUUGGACUAUGUGAAUUAAUAUCUAUGUUUCAUUGAUUCUAUGUCUACACGAUGACUCAAAUUAUGAUUUUGAAGCAUGUUUAAGGUUAUGACUUAUUGAAUUGGGCAUGAAGGAUUACUUUGCCAUGUUAAGAUUUAUAAUAAAUCUGUAGUCAUACACUUAUCUUAUUUUCUCCAUGAUUUGAUGGUUAUAUGACUUAGUUUAUUAAUGUUAAAUAAUAUGGUUAGACUUAUGCAUGUUGAAUUAUGUUAUUGAGUCGUUGUGAUAAAUUUAAUUACAUGAUUAGCUAUAGCCAUCUUUUAGCCGUAUAAGCAGCAUUAGAGGAUUGUGCUUUAGAUUCUGAGGGAGAAGGUAUUGUAUGAGAUGGUCUCUAAGUGCGAUUUUUGGUUUAACCUGGAAACAUUCUUGGACCACGUGAUUUUUAGUGAUGGAAUCAAGGUGGAUACAAAGAAGGUUUAGGCGGUUCAGAGUUGGCCUAAACGUUCUAUAGCUACAAAGAUCGGGAGGUUCUUCGGUUUGGCUUUCUACUAUUGUCGCUUCGUGGAAGGACUCUCAUCUAUUUCAGCUCCGAUGACAAACUUCACUCAGAAGGUCGCUCCAUUUAGAUGACCUGAUGAGUGUGAAGAGAGCUUUCAGAAGCUCAAGACUAGUUUGAUUACAAUUUCAGUUUUCGUAUUACCCUCAGGAUCGGGGAUGUAUAAUGUCUAUUGUGAUGCUUUGAGAGUUGGCAUUGGUUGUGUGUUAAUGGAGGACAAUAAUGUGAUUGUCUAUGUGUCACGAUAGUUGAAGCUCCAUGAAAAGAAUGAUCUAGUUAAUGAUUGGAGUUAGAAACUAUUGUACAAGAUUUAGAAGCAUUACUUGUAUAGUGUGUCAUGUGAGGUUUACAUUUAUCAUCGGAGACUUCAACAAUUGUUCGAGCAAAAGGAUUUGAAUUUGAAACAGCGUAUGUGGUUGGAAUUGUUGAAGGAUUAUGAUAUCACUAUCUUGUAUAAUCCAGGGAAAGUGAAUGUGGUAGCGGAUGCUUUAAGUAGAAAGGUGGAAAGUGUGGGGAGUUUGGCAUUUAUUACAACUGUGGAGAGGCCUUUGGCUAGGGACGUUCAUGUCUUGUCCAAUAGAUUUGUGAGGUUUUAUAUUUUUGAGUCUAGUAGAGUUCUUGAUUGUGUUGUUGCGCAGUCAUCCAUGUUUGAGCGUAUUAAGGGUCGCUAGUAUGAUGAUUCUCAUUUGCUAGUUCGUAAGGACACAGUGCUAUGAGAUGGUUCUAAGGAUGUGGUCAUUGGUGAUGAUGGUGUACUAUGACUUUAGGGUCGGAUUUGUGUUCCUAAUGUGGAUGGAUUGAGGGACUUUAUUCUUGAGAAUACUCACCAUUCGAUGUAUUCUAUCCAUCCAGGUGCGAGGAAGAUGUAUCAUGAUUUGAAGCAGCAUUAUUGGUGGUGGAGGAUGAAGAAGAGAAUUGUUGGGCAUGUUUUGCAGUGUUUGAGUUGUCAGCAGGUCAAAUAUGAGCAUAAAAAAUUGGGUGGUUUGAUUCAGAGAUUAGUGAUAUUAGAGUGGCAGUGGGAGCACAUUACUAUGACUUUGUAGUAGGAUUUCCAUGGACCUUGAGAAAGUUUGAUGCUAUUGAGGUCAUUAUGGAUAGGUUGACCAAUUCUGCAUAUUUCAUUCCUGUGAUGACUACUUACACUUCAGAUAUAUUGGCUCAGAUCUACAUCUAGGAGAUAGUUUGUUUGCAUGGUGUGCCUGUUUCUAUCAUUUCAAAUUGGGUACUCAGUUCACAUUACACUUUUGGAGAGCUUUUUAAAGAGAGUUUGGCGUGUGGGUGGAGAUUAGAUAUGCAUUUCACCCAUAGACGGAUGGACAGUCCGAAUAGACGAUAUGUUGAGAGCCUCAGUUAUUGAUUUUUGGGGAUUGUGGGAUAAAUUUCUAUCAUUUGCAAAGUUUUCUUACAACAAUAGCUACCAAUCCAAUAUCCAAAUGGCUCCAUAUGAGGCCUUAUAUGGGAGGCAGUGUCAUUCUCUGGUUAGUUAGUUUGAGCAUGGUAAGGCUAGGUUGUUGUGUACAUAUUUGGUUUGUGAUGCUUUAAAAAAGGUGAAGUUUAUUUAGGAGCGUAUUCAUACAACGCAGUCUAUGCAGAAGAAUUAUGCUGUUAGGAAGAUUCGUAAUGCGGAUUUCAUGGAGGGUGAAAAGGUUCUUCUUAGAGUUUUGCCUAUGAAGGGAAUGACAAGAUUUGGAAAGAAGGUCAAGUUGAGCCCUCGGUAUAUUAGUCCAUUUGAGGUUUUAGAGAGAGUUGGAGAGGUGUCUUACAUGCUUGCUUUGCCACCCAGCUUGUCGGGAGUUCAUCUGGUAUUCCAUGUUUCCAUGCUUCAGAAGUAUUAUAAAGACAAGGCAGAUGUGUUAGAUUUUAGUUCAAUGCAAUUGAGUGGUAAUCUAGCUUAUGAAGAAGAGCCCGCAGAAAUUUUGGAUAGGCAGGUUCCGAAGUAGAGAUCGAAAGAGAUUGCAUCCAUGAAGGUUUAGUGGAGCAGCUCCGAUCUCUCGCGGCUAUAGCAAGGGGCGCAAGUGUCUGAUCAUCGGAUCCAAUGGUGCAUGUCCUUGUCACACCUGCUUUUUUACCACACCCGCGAGAAGGGUGUAUAGGGGAGUUUUUUCAAUUAAAGGACAAUCGAAACGGGAUUAUUUUAUUUAAAGAUUCAGAGUCGUCACUUGGGAGAUUUGUGGUAUCCCAAGUCACUGAUUCAAAUCCCGAAUCGAGGAAAGAUUGACUUUGUAUUACAAUCCGCGAACACAGAAAUCCGGGUAAGGAAUUCUGUUUACCUGGGAGAAGGUGUUAGGCAUUCCCGAGUUCCGUGGUUCUAGCACGGUCGCUCAACUGUUACAAUUGGCCUAUUAUUUGAUUUUAAAAUACUUUUGACCCUAUGUGCAUUUUAACUUUAAACCACUUUUAAUUACUUUAAGGAAGUUUCAAUGCCAUCUAAAACACGUCUUGAACCAUGCCAAAUGAAAUGCACCCGCGGUCCACGACAUAUUUUAUUUAGCGUUGUUGAGAUUUGGAUUUGGGUCACAUGAAAUGCACACCCGAGUUUUGGAAAUUAGGCAUCAUAACUAUGUCACGGGAACCAUACCCAUAGUCACGAUGAUUUAUUAAUCACGCUUAAAGCAUUCUACGAUGUUCAUACCUUGGAAACCAAAUUUCCUUUUUCAUUUUUCAUAACGUCCCUGCGAUAAUUCGAUUAACACAUGAAGACAAACUUUUUAAUACUCCUCUAAAUGUGUGAAUAUAUAUUCGGACAACAGUGAGAAGAAUUAACCUCACUCUGCCCAAAAAAAUUCAAAUUAGAGGAAGACUAAAUGCAUGUUUAACAAAAUUUAAGAGCAGUACAACAAUCCGAGAUACAAAAAGAGCUACUACUAUAAAAUAAAUGGAUUAACAUGUUCAAUAAAUAUUAGAGAUAUGAUCAACAGUGAAAUAUGCAAAAGUUGUAUCAUGCACAAUAGCAAACUCCAUCCCAUACCUCCCCACCUAAUAAAUUGCACUGCUUAUAAAUAAGACGAAAAAAGAAUAAGUUAUAUCUGAAGCAACAAGCUGAAAAAGAUAAAGAUGAACCAAGUAAACAACAAAACCUACUAAUUGGAAUAACCAUAACUUGAGAAAUACUUUACUAUUCCAUUACACAAAAUUCGGUACUCAGUCAAAACCAAAAAGAAGUGACUUUAUUUAAUGGUGAUGAAGUAAUUACAAUGAGUGACCUUUGCAAACUUACGUAAUUUGACUGUGGACAUUAUUAUUAAUACGCAAAAAGAGUAGAAGGGAAACAGAUAAAAUCAUAGGAUCUGCAUUUUAUUUGGAAGUCGACGUGUAUGUAACUGGUGAUAAAAUUUUAAUAUUCAACAAUCAACCAUAGAUUUCUUAUAUUUUCUCUUUUGAACAAGUUUUUAUUCGUUUUUCAGCUACAACCAACAACAUUUGCCAGAAAAGUGGAAAACAAUCCAUAAAGCAACGCAGAGAAAAACAUCAAGGAUUUGAAUAUGUCAAAACAAAAUUCUAUUAAGAUAUUUAAAUAUAAGAACCUGCGUGGUCUUCAUUUUUAGCUAACAUGAAAGAAGCAGCAGCCGAAAGUCAACAACAAUCAACAAUGAAUAAUAAUCUAGUUUUUCUGAAAUUUUUCUUUUGAAUUUUUGAAGACAAGACCUUGGAUAGAACCUCUCGCUGGCGGUCAGAUCUG